RNAcentral lists this ribosomal RNA (421 nucleotides) under uncultured bacterium. RNAcentral describes it as "bacterial SSU rRNA". It matches the Rfam family "Bacterial small subunit ribosomal RNA", at positions 355 to 774 of the family's 1533-position model. The record is from RNAcentral.
UAAGGAAUAUUGGUCAAUGGACGCAAGUCUGAACCAGCCAUGCCGCGUGAAGGAUGAAGGUCCUCUGGAUUGUAAACUUCUUUUAUCUGGGACGAAAACGGGAUUUUUAUCUCAAUUGACGGUACCAGCGGAAUAAGCACCGGCUAACUCCGUGCCAGCAGCCGCGGUAAUACGGAGGGUGCGAGCGUUAUCCGGAUUUACUGGGUUUAAAGGGUGCGUAGGUGGGCUUAUAAGUCAGUGGUGAAAUCUCCGAGCUUAACUUGGAAACUGCCGUUGAUACUAUAGGUCUUGAAUUAUCUGGAGGUAAGCGGAAUAUGUCAUGUAGCGGUGAAAUGCUUAGAUAUGACAUAGAACACCAAUUGCGAAGGCAGCUUACUACAUAUAAAUUGACGCUGAGGCACGAAAGCGUGGGGAUCAAACA